CAGGAGUAAAGUUGUAUUUAAACUGUAAGAAUAUUGGCAGGUUUUUAAAUUAUCUUUGGAGGUUGAGUAGUAAUUGAGARCCCUCAUUAACAACUUUUACUGUAGGCGCAUGUAUGAUCGUUUAUUUUAUUCUUAAGGAUUGUAAUUUUAGAUUAACUAUUUUCUGUAAAAAUAGAUAAAUACUUGGUAUAUGUAAAAGAUUUAAUUUGACCUACAAUAUGUUAUCUUGUGGAUACUUUUUUAGUAGAAGGUUGAAAAUGUAAAAGACAGUAAGUUUUUUUUUAUAUAAAGCUGAAGUUUAUUUAAAAACGGUACAAAUCAUCCAUCAAUUGCCUUCAGGGGAGUAAGUUGUAGUAAAGUAGAGUUAGGGGAACCUGGCUCUA
RNAcentral lists this ribosomal RNA (383 nucleotides) under Ascaris lumbricoides (common roundworm). RNAcentral describes it as "12S ribosomal RNA". Lineage: Eukaryota; Metazoa; Nematoda; Chromadorea; Rhabditida; Ascarididae. The record is from RNAcentral.